ACGGGAGGCAGCAGUGGGGAAUAUUGGGCAAUGGGCGCAAGCCUGACCCAGCAACGCCGCGUGAAGGAAGAAGGCUUUCGGGUUGUAAACUUCUUUUAUCAGGGACGAAGAAAGUGACGGUACCUGAUGAAUAAGCCACGGCUAACUACGUGCCAGCAGCCGCGGUAAUACGGAGGAUGCGAGCGUUAUCCGGAUUUACUGGGUUUAAAGGGUGCGCAGGCGGGCCUUUAAGUCAGCGGUGAAAUCCCGUAGCUCAACUACGGAACUGCCGUUGAUACUGGAGGCCUUGAGUCGUGUCGAGGAUGGCGGAAUGCAGCGUGUAGCGGUGAAAUGCUUAGAUAUGCUGCAGAACUCCGAUUGCGAAGGCAGCUGUCCAGAGACGAACUGACGCUGAGGCACGAAAGCAUGGGUAUCAAACAGGAUUAGAUACCCUGGUA
The sequence is a ribosomal RNA, 437 nucleotides long. It matches the Rfam family "Bacterial small subunit ribosomal RNA", at positions 341 to 792 of the family's 1533-position model.